This is a long non-coding RNA of Rosa chinensis, 1254 nucleotides long. RefSeq lists it as uncharacterized. The record is from RefSeq and is a predicted model, not a curated record. The transcript is spliced from 2 exons. Lineage: Eukaryota; Viridiplantae; Streptophyta; Magnoliopsida; Rosales; Rosaceae.
CACUCUCUCUCUCUCUCACUCAAACUCUCACUCUCUUUCUCGUCCGAAACCCAUUCGAAAAACAGAGCACGGUUUCUCCGGUCUCUCUCUCCCACCUCAGGUCACCACAAGACACCAGACCACGUCCCACACCUUCGCCUCGAUAUUUCGCAGGUGCAGGUGGGCAGCCUUGCGAUGUAGAACAAUCGGAAGCGGCGGCGGGAAGCUCCGGCCGGUUUGAGCUCGUUUUGGUUCCAAGCUUGAUAUCUCAAGCUACCGGUCACCAAUCCUCACCAAACUUCAUCCUCGAGCUCACUUCAACCUCCUGAAACUCCCAUAAGUGUCCUUACACGGCGGCGCUGCGCGUGGUGGCAGCUGGAAGCCAGCCCCGAUCAAAAAUCGAAAACGAAAACCUUCCGAUGGUGAUAUCUCGAGCUGUAGUGCAUCGUUUUGAGUGAUUCUUGAACCAGUGAGCUCACCCUGAUGUUCUUAACAACUCUCUAGAAGGAAUCAAACCCUAAAAUUGAAGUUUUUACGUCGGAAUUCCAGCUCACCGGAUUCUGGAAAUUUUCCGGCCAACGAAGGUUUCGAUCAAGAUAUCUCGAGUUUUAGAGCUUCGUUUUGAGUGAUUCUUGAACCAAUGAGUUCUUCUUGAUGUUAUUAACAACUCUUCAGAAGUAAUCGAGGCCUGAAAUUGAAUUUUUUACGUCGAAAUCAAGCUCGCCAUUUUCUGCAAUUCUCGCCGGUUCCUGGAAAAAUUCCGGCCACCUAGACUGUUUUAGGUGAUCGACGGGAUGAUUUGGCGGACGAUGGUGAAUCGUUGAUUUGGCUGUUAAGAAGACGCAGUUGGAUUAGAGGUGAGUAAACCUCACAUGGUUCAUAUUACGAACCAAAUGUCUUUAAUUACCUUGUUUAUAUUGUGAUUUAAGUGAAAAUACGUAUGGAAAUACAAUAUAUCAUGUUAUUGUUGAUUUUAUUGUGAGAAAGCAUAAGUGAGUCGAGGUGUAACAUUUGAGUCAUAUAGGAUGACCUUUAAAAUGUUUUGAUCUACGGUUUGGUCACCAGUGGUGACAGAGGCAAGGUCUUCGUAAGCGUGAACCUUGGCCCAGGUGACACAUUACGAAUGAUUCAGUUAGAGCUCUAGUCUGUCUGCCAUAGUAUGACAUGAAAGCAGCGAGUAGUAGAAUUACUCGUGAUCAUGAAUACAGUAUGACAUGAAAGCAGCGAGUAGUAGAAUUACUCGUGAUCAUGAAUACACUUUUGAAAUUUGACGUA